UUUCGCAAUGCCCGAAAGGGUGACGAAGCGACGCCGCGUGAGUGAGGAAGGCCUUCGGGUUGUAAAGCUCUGUCAGGAGUUAAGAAAUAUAAGUGUGUUAAUACCACAUUUAUUUGACGAAGGCUCCAAAGGAAGCCACGGCUAACUCUGUGCCAGCAGCCGCGGUAAUACAGAGGUGGCAAGCGUUGUUCGGAAUUAUUGGGCGUAAAGAGCACGUAGGUGGGUUUGUAAGUCAGAUGUGAAAGCCUUCUGUUCAACGGAAGAAUUGCAUCUGAAACUGCGAGUCUUGAGUGUAGGAGGGGAGAAUGGAACUUCUGGUGGAGCGAUGAAAUGCGUAGAUAUCAGAAGGAACGCCGGCGGCGAAAGCGAUUCUCUGGCCUAUUACUGACACUCGGUGUGCGAAAGCUAGGGGAGCAAACGGGAUUAGAUACCCCGGUAGUCCUAGCUGUAAACGAUGGGCACUAAGUAGAGGGGUUUUA
This 479-nucleotide ribosomal RNA is filed under the name uncultured anaerobic ammonium-oxidizing bacterium. RNAcentral's name for it is "bacterial SSU rRNA". It matches the Rfam family "Bacterial small subunit ribosomal RNA", at positions 364 to 833 of the family's 1533-position model. The record is from RNAcentral.